Molecule: ribosomal RNA, 449 nt
Filed under: uncultured bacterium
Lineage: Bacteria
Description: SSU rRNA
Rfam family: Bacterial small subunit ribosomal RNA
Source: RNAcentral
AGAAUGAACGCUGGCGGCAUGCCUAACACAUGCAAGUCGAACGAAGUCCUUCGGGGCUUAGUGGCGCACGGGUGCGUAACGCGUGGGAAUCUACCCUUAGGUUCGGAAUAACAGUUGGAAACGACUGCUAAUACCGGAUGAUGACGUAAGUCCAAAGAUUUAUCGCCUAGGGAUGAGCCCGCGUAGGAUUAGCUAGUUGGUGUGGUAAAGGCGCACCAAGGCGACGAUCCUUAGCUGGUCUGAGAGGAUGAUCAGCCACACUGGGACUGAGACACGGCCCAGACUCCUACGGGAGGCAGCAGUGGGGAAUAUUGGACAAUGGGCGAAAGCCUGAUCCAGCAAUGCCGCGUGAGUGAUGACGGCCUUGGUUGUAAACCUCUUUCAGCAGGGACGAAGCGAAGUGACGGUACCUGCAGAGAAGCACCGGCCAACUACGCGCCAGCAGCCGC